RNAcentral lists this transfer RNA (73 nucleotides) under Apaloderma vittatum (bar-tailed trogon). It matches the Rfam family "tRNA". From Rfam's summary of the family: Transfer RNA (tRNA) molecules are approximately 80 nucleotides in length. Their secondary structure includes four short double-helical elements and three loops (D, anti-codon, and T loops). Further hydrogen bonds mediate the characteristic L-shaped molecular structure. tRNAs have two regions of fundamental functional importance: the anti-codon, which is responsible for specific mRNA codon recognition, and the 3' end, to which the tRNAs corresponding amino acid is attached (by aminoacyl-tRNA synthetases). tRNAs cope with the degeneracy of the genetic code in two manners: having more than one tRNA (with a specific anti-codon) for a particular amino acid; and 'wobble' base-pairing, i.e. permitting non-standard base-pairing at the 3rd anti-codon position. The record is from Rfam by way of RNAcentral. Lineage: Eukaryota; Metazoa; Chordata; Aves; Trogoniformes; Trogonidae.
GGCCAGUUAGCUCAAUCGGUUGAACAGGGUACUGUUAACACCAAGGUUGCAGGUUCAAUUCCUGUUCAGUCCC